Long non-coding RNA from Apis dorsata (giant honeybee), 723 nucleotides. RefSeq lists it as uncharacterized. The record is from RefSeq and is a predicted model, not a curated record. The transcript is spliced from 2 exons. NCBI's taxonomy places the organism in Eukaryota, Metazoa, Arthropoda, Insecta, Hymenoptera, Apidae.
UGUGAUUUGAAGUGAUCUAUGAAAGGAAUAAAAAAUCAAUAGACAUUUUAAAAAACUGUGGUACAUAAUUACAAAGUGCGAUACGGACGGAGCGAUCAGCAGGCCGAAUUCCUCUUCAGUUCUUCACGCGUGCAUAUGUUACACUUUUUAUAUAAUACAUACAUUCAAUCAUAGGUAUACGUAAUAAUUGAAUAUUGAAGUUUUCUUUACUUGUAUUUUCGAUAUUCCGAUCAGUUGAGUAGUUAUAUAGAACACGAAGUUUCUUCGUUUCAUAUAGACUCUUUUACUCUUUCAUGUAAAUAAUUAUCAUCGAAAUAUAGAUGAAAGAUGUAACAAAUUAAAAAAUUUGAUAAUUCCAUGAUUUCAUAUAUAUUUGAAAUUUUAUUAUCUUUAUUUGUAUUGUUUUGAAAUUAAGAAAUAGGAACGAUAAGUUCUUUCUUGCAAAAUAUUAUUAUCAUUAUUAAUAACUUUAUCAUUAAAAAUGCUAAAUUAAUAGCAUUAAUAAAAGAAACGUUUUCCUUUAUUUGCAUAAAACUUAAAGUAAUUAUAAUGGACACAAUACUUUUUAUAUAAAUCGUAUAUUUGAUAAAUUCCAAUAAUAUUUCCGUUUUAACUUUUUUUGAUUUUUAUGUCAUUGAUAUUUCUAACAUUUUAUUUCUCUCAAAAUUUAUUUUAUUAAAAUUCAUCAUCAUUUUCUCAAUUCUUUUCGUUCCUAUUUUCAUA